CGUUAGCGGCGGACGGGUGAGUAACACGUGGGUGACCUACCUAUAAGACUGGGAUAACUCCGGGAAACCGGGGCUAAUACCGGAUAACACAUGAAACCGCAUUGUUUCAUGAUGAAAGACGGUUUUGCUGUCACUUAUAGAUGGACCCGCGGCGUAUUAGCUAGUUGGUAAGGUAACGGCUUACCAAGGCAACGAUACGUAGCCGACCUGAGAGGGUGAUCGGCCACACUGGAACUGAGACACGGUCCAGACUCCUACGGGAGGCAGCAGGA
RNAcentral lists this ribosomal RNA (272 nucleotides) under uncultured Staphylococcus sp. RNAcentral describes it as "partial 16S ribosomal RNA". It matches the Rfam family "Bacterial small subunit ribosomal RNA", at positions 90 to 354 of the family's 1533-position model. Lineage: Bacteria; Bacillati; Bacillota; Bacilli; Caryophanales; Staphylococcaceae. The record is from RNAcentral.